RNAcentral lists this ribosomal RNA (253 nucleotides) under uncultured bacterium. RNAcentral describes it as "partial 16S ribosomal RNA". It matches the Rfam family "Bacterial small subunit ribosomal RNA", at positions 524 to 776 of the family's 1533-position model. The record is from RNAcentral.
UACGUAGGUGGCGAGCGUUAUCCGGAUUUACUGGGUGUAAAGGGCGCGUAGGCGGGGAUGCAAGUCAGAUGUGAAAUCUAUGGGCUUAACCCAUAAACUGCAUUUGAAACUGUAUUUCUUGAGUGCUGGAGAGGUAGAUGGAAUUCCUUGUGUAGCGGUGAAAUGCGUAGAUAUAAGGAAGAACACCAGUGGCGAAGGCGAUCUACUGGACAGUAACUGACGCUGAGGCGCGAAAGCGUGGGGAGCAAACAGG